AUMAUUCNAUGASGUNSSAKGCGUGMUGCUGUGAUUNCUCCUUCGAAGUUAGCGGCGGACGGGUGAGUAACACGUGGGUAACCUGCCCAUAAGACUGGGAUAACUCCGGGAAACMGGGGCUAAUACCGGAUAACAUUUUGAACUGCAUGGUUCGAAAUUGAAAGGCGGCUUCGGCUGUCACUUAURGAURGACCCGCGUCGCAAUAGCUAGUUGGUGAGGUAACGGCUCACCARGGCAACGAUGCGUAGCCGACCUGAGAGGGUGAUCGGCCACACUGRGACUGAGACACGGCCCASACUCCUACGGGAGGCAGCAGUAGGGAAUCUUCCGCARUGGACGAAAGUCUGACRGAGCAACGCCGCGUGAGUGAUGAGGGCUUUCRGGUCGUAAAACUCUGUUGUUAGGGAAGAACAAGUGCUAGUUGAAUAAGCUGGCACCUUGACGGUACCUAACCARAAMGCCACGGCUAACUACGUGCCAGCAGCCGCGGUAAUACGUAGGUGGCAAGCGUUAUCCGGAAUUAUUGGGCGUARAGCGCGCGCAGGUGGUUUCUUAAGUCUGAUGUGAAAGCCCACGGCUCAACCGUGGAGGGUCAUUGGAAACUGGGAGACUUGAGUGCAGAAGAGGAAAGUGGAAUUCCAUGUGUAGCGGUGAAAUGCGUAGAGAUAUGGAGGAACACCAGUGGCGAAGGCGACUUUCUGGUCUGUAACUGACACUGAGGCGCGAAAGCGUGGGGAGCAAACAGGAUUAGAUACCCUGGUAGUCCACGCCGUAAACGAUGAGUGCUAAGUGUUAGAGGGUUUCCSCCCUUUAGUGCUGAAGUUAACGCAUUAAGCACUCCSCCUGGGGAGUACGGCCGCAAGGCUGAAACUCAAAGGAAUUGACGGGGGCCCGCACAGCGGUGGARCAUGUGGUUUAUUCGAASCACGCGAAAACCUUACMAGGUCUUGACUCCUCURAAACCCUAAAAAWGGGCUUCYCUUCGGGACAAAURACNGGKGGUCAUGGUUKCSYCMCYCKGUCGGAA
This 1028-nucleotide ribosomal RNA is filed under the name Bacillus thuringiensis. Its description in RNAcentral is "partial 16S ribosomal RNA". It matches the Rfam family "Bacterial small subunit ribosomal RNA", at positions 76 to 1070 of the family's 1533-position model. Lineage: Bacteria; Bacillati; Bacillota; Bacilli; Caryophanales; Bacillaceae. The record is from RNAcentral.